CCUACGGGAGGCAGCAGUAGGGAAUUUUCCGCAAUGGGCGAAAGCCUGACGGAGCAAUACCGCGUGAGGGAUGACUGCCUGUGGGUUGUAAACCUCUUUUCUCAAGGAAGAAGUCCUGACGGUACUUGAGGAAUAAGCAUCGGCUAACUCUGUGCCAGCAGCCGCGGUAAUACAGAGGAUGCAAGCGUUAUCCGGAAUCACUGGGCAUAAAGCGUCUGUAGGUGGUUUGGUAAGUCUGCUGUUUAAAGACUGGGGCUCAACCCCAGAAAACGCAGUGGAAACUGCCAAACUUGAGUGUGGUAGAGGUAGAGGGAAUUCCUAGUGUAGCGGUGAAAUGCGUAGAUAUUAGGAAGAACACCAAUGGCGAAAGCACUCUACUGGACCAUAACUGACACUGAGAGACGACAGCUAGGGGAGCAAAUGGGAUUAGAUACCCCAGUAGUCCUAGCCGUAAACGAUGGAUACUAGAUGUUGCACGUAUUAACCCGUGCAGUAUCGUAGCUAAGGCUUAAGUAUCCGCCUGGAAGUACGCUCGCAAGNGNGAACNCGAAGAUUGACGNGNGAGAGNGCGAGACGACGACGAGGGAGAG
RNAcentral lists this ribosomal RNA (590 nucleotides) under uncultured bacterium. RNAcentral describes it as "bacterial SSU rRNA". It matches the Rfam family "Bacterial small subunit ribosomal RNA", at positions 338 to 946 of the family's 1533-position model. The record is from RNAcentral.